RNAcentral lists this ribosomal RNA (218 nucleotides) under uncultured bacterium. RNAcentral describes it as "partial 16S ribosomal RNA". It matches the Rfam family "Bacterial small subunit ribosomal RNA", at positions 1283 to 1500 of the family's 1533-position model. The record is from RNAcentral.
CAAUCUCAGUUCNGACUGCAGGCUGCAACUCGCCUGCACGAAGUCGGAAUUGCUAGUAAUCGUAGGUCAGCAUACUACGGUGAAUACGUUCCCGGGCCUUGUACACACCGCCCGUCAAACCAUGAGAGUUGGCAACACCCGAAGUCGGUAGUCUAACCGCAAGGAGGACGCCGCCGAAGGUGGGGUUGAUGAUUAGGGUUAAGUCGUAACAAGGUAAC